GUUAAAUUUGAUUACUACAUGAAAAAGGGCUUCAAAUGACUUGAAGAACCAGGUAAAAUUCAAAAGCAAGAAGCACAUAUAUUAUCAAAUUAAAGAACCAGGUAAAAUUCAUUAAAUUAAAUAGCUUCAUUAUUCAAAAAAUGAAAGAAAGCAAAAGUAAAGAGAGAGGCCAGCUACUGGGACCCAAUCACUCAAAACACAAGAUCUUGAAUAGCUUUGCCUAAAUGACUUCUCUCCAAGGAGUUUUCUCAGGUCUAGAAUCACAGCAUUGACAUUCAAAAUAU
This 284-nucleotide unclassified non-coding RNA is filed under the name Hevea brasiliensis (rubber tree). The record is from RNAcentral. Lineage: Eukaryota; Viridiplantae; Streptophyta; Magnoliopsida; Malpighiales; Euphorbiaceae.